CAAUAGCGUAUAUUAAAGUUGUUGCGGUUAAAAGCUCGUAGUUGGAUUUCUGUUGGGAACGACCGGUCCGCCCAUUGGGUGUGCAUCUGGCUUGUUCUCGGCAUCUUCUUGGUGAACGUUGCUGCACUUGACUGUGUGGAGCGCUACCCAGGACUUUUACUUUGAGGAAAUUAGAGUGUUUCAAGCAGGCAUAUGCCUUGAAUACAUUAGCAUGGAAUAAUAAGAUAGGACCUCGGUUCUAUUUUGUUGGUUUCUAGUACUGAAGUAAUGAUUGAUAGGGAUAGUUGGGGGUGGCUAGUAUUGGCCGGCCAGAGGUGAAAUUCUUGGAUUCGGUCAAGACUAACUUAUGCGAAAGCAUUCACCAAGGAUGUCUUCUUUAAUCAAGAACGAAAGUUGGGGGAUCGAAGACGAUCAGAUACCAU
This 422-nucleotide ribosomal RNA is filed under the name uncultured eukaryote. RNAcentral's name for it is "bacterial SSU rRNA". It matches the Rfam family "Eukaryotic small subunit ribosomal RNA", at positions 592 to 1018 of the family's 1831-position model. The record is from RNAcentral.